AAUAGAUACCCGGGUAGUCCAUGCCGUAAACGUUGGGCGCUAGAUGUGGGGACCAUUCCACGGUUUCCGUGUCGCAGCUAACGCAUUAAGCGCCCCGCCUGGGGAGUACGGCCGCAAGGCUAAAACUCAAAGGAAUUGACGGGGGCCCGCACAAGCGGCGGAGCAUGCGGAUUAAUUCGAUGCAACGCGAAGAACCUUACCAAGGCUUGACAUAUACGAGAACGCUCUAGAAAUAGAGAACUCUUUGGACACUCGUAUACAGGUGGUGCAUGGUUGUCGUCAGCUCGUGUCGUGAGAUGUUGGGUUAAGUCCCGCAACGAGCGCAACCCUCGUUCUAUGUUGCCAGCGGUUCGGCCGGGAACUCAUAGGAGACUGCCGGGGUCAACUCGGAGGAAGGUGGGGAUGACGUCAAAUCAUCAUGCCCCUUAUGUCUUAGGCUUCACGCAUGCUACGAUGGCCGGUACAAAGGGCUGCAAUACCGUAAGGUGGAGCGAAUCCCAAAAAGCCGGUCUCAGUUCGGAUUGAGGU
This 528-nucleotide ribosomal RNA is filed under the name uncultured bacterium. RNAcentral's name for it is "bacterial SSU rRNA". It matches the Rfam family "Bacterial small subunit ribosomal RNA", at positions 777 to 1304 of the family's 1533-position model. The record is from RNAcentral.